Calliphora vicina (urban bluebottle blowfly) is the source of this 752-nucleotide RNA transcript. It is a transcript of the gene named homeobox protein 2-like, with no coding region annotated. The record is from RefSeq and is a predicted model, not a curated record. The transcript has 6 exons. NCBI's taxonomy places the organism in Eukaryota, Metazoa, Arthropoda, Insecta, Diptera, Calliphoridae.
AUAUUAUAUUCCUCUAGGGAAAGAAGUAAAUCGUAAAUAAGUUUAAAAUGAAAUUUUACCACGGAUUUCUGGCGAUAUUAUUUAUUAUGUUCGUUAGAUGCCAUAAUUCGCAGGCUCUCAAACAUAAAGGCUAUAGAGAUCAAGCUAUAAGAGACAGCGACGAUGUAAGACCAAACAGCAACGGUGACAAUAUUAUAACUGGAGAUAAUGUUAGAAAUCGAGUGCAAAUUAAUGGCAAGACUAUUGAAACUGGUACAACUGACAAUGAAUCGAAUUGGAAUAAUAAUGGAAACCGAUAUCAGUCUAGGGAAAACAACAACGACAAUAUUAUAACUGGAGAUAAUGUUAGAAAUCGUGUGCAAAUUAAUGGCAGGACUAUUGAAACUGGUACAACUGACAAUGAAUCGAAUUGGAAUAAUAAUGGAAACCGAUAUCAGUCUAGGAAAAACAACAACGAUUAUACAAGAAAUCGAAAAAACAAAUUACUUAAAUAUAAAUUCUUCAUAAAAUUUUAGAAUCAUAAUGGGCACAAUAUUAAACAUCAAGGAAGGACAACUAUUUCACAAUCAUCAGAUAACAAUUAAUCGAACACUGAAGAGUUAGUUAGAGAGAGCCCGAGAACAUUCAAACAUAUAACAGGUUCGAGUAAAUGUAAAUUUUUAAAUCUUCUAAUAAAAUUGUUAUUAGAUAUAUAAAUUUAUUUAAUGAGGGAAGAAAAAUAAAAAUAAUGUUAAAAAAAAUACUUAAAAGAA